Camarhynchus parvulus is the source of this 2065-nucleotide long non-coding RNA. RefSeq lists it as uncharacterized. The transcript has 3 exons. NCBI's taxonomy places the organism in Eukaryota, Metazoa, Chordata, Aves, Passeriformes, Thraupidae. The record is from RefSeq and is a predicted model, not a curated record.
UGACUCCUCGAUAAUUAUAUCCGUUCGGAGCCUACGCAGAAUUAGCCUGAAUUGCAUGCAAAAUGCCGCGUUCGGUCCUUUGGUUUGUUGUAAAGCAAAGACUUGUGCCCAGAGCCUCAGGGACUGAGGCGGAAGUUUCAGGGGCCGCUCUGUGCUCUGCAAUUAGAUUGACACAUGUACAACAUCCCCAGCUAUUCAAGGGGGUUCGCAGGGACACUCCAAGGGGAUUUUUUUCCCCCUUUUUCUUUUUGGGUGGAAGAUAUUAAAGAGGUAUCUGUUGUUUGGCAAUUUUGCUAAGUCUGUCUUCAUUACUUCAACAUUGUGCAUUUGCUAAUUUGGAAGCCCCUUCCUAUUGACAGCUCUGCUCCAUACACCUGCAAGCAAUUUGCAGAGCUCCAAUAUAGGAGAAUUGCAGAGAUGGCAGCUCGCACCUAUUUUAUUUUUUUUUUCUUCGCUUUUCUCAAUGCACAGCAAAUUUGGCUUUCAGUGCGUUAUCUCUUUUGUUAAUGCAAAAAGAUUCCCUGGGCGAAAAAAUUGCUCAUAAUUACCAGAGAGAUGGGGAAACUGCAUUAGAAUAAAUAAACCUGAAAUUACUGUAAUUAUGUUGUGUUUGAUGGGCUCGGCUUGUAAUCAAGAAGAGAAUACAGUGAAAUGAUGCUGACCCUCUUGGGUUUGCAGCUGUACGCGCACUUUGGGGUCUUUUUUUGCAGAAAAGAGUCAUUUUGAUCAUCAUUAAGCUGUGUGUAACCUAUUUCAGAAGUGUUUGAAAAUGAGGGGCACUUUUUUUUUUUCCCCCAACAAGGAAAAAUAUAUCCCAAAAUUACAUUUUGCCAUUUACGGGCACAUCCAUAAGGUUGUAUUUGCCGGGUGACAAUUGGUAAAGGUAUAAUAUUCGAAAUCAUAGCUUAAUCAUUGUAAUGAGGUAUUGUUUCAAUAUAAGCACCUUUGGAUUAUUCAUAGUUUAAUUAAUAUCCUCAUUAUGAAAAUCUUCGAAUCAGAUAUUUGAUGAACUACUUGUCAGCAACAAGGCAGAAUUAAUUAGGCCUGUAUUGAGAUUAACAUUUUCAAAUGUACAAUUAUAAUAGCCUCUAACUCAAAACCGCCUCGCUGAGAGAAAACUGAUAAUUUCUCUAUUUGAACUGUUAGCAAGACAUUAUUGAAUUAGGAGAAGCUAAUAUAUCUUUAAAGCCCCCGAGCUGCUUGACCACCCCUCUUUGGCCCGGUCAGAGGCGUUUGGUCACCGGCAGAGCCGCCGCGGGAGCUGUGUGGGUCCUGGGGCGCUGCGGGGCCGCGGAGCCCUCCGGCUCGCUGGGCACUUCGGGCCGCUCGGGACCAGACUCGGGCCGUGGCACUGCGGGAAACGCGGAGCGUUUGCCGUGUGGGAUCCCGCACCCCGCGGGCCGCCGCGCCGCGUGUGCGCUAGGGCGGAUGCUGCACCGCCGUGCACCGGCUGAGCACCGGGGAGUGGGUGCGUACCUCGGGCCGAGUGAGCGCGGCCCCCCCGGGGCUGCACAGCCGAUCCCCCGCGCAGGAACGCGCACGGGCAGUUGGCCGAGCCCAGCCGCCGCCGGCUCCCACCGCUCUGCAGCGCUUUACCCACCCCAGCAAUAGCCACGGGUUGUGCCGGCGCCGCGCCAGCCCGGGGAGCGGGCACGGCUCAGUCCGGGGCUGGAUGACCGCGGCGGUACCGGCACAGUUUCGGCUCCCGCGGGAUGCGUGGGUACGCAACCGGCUCGGCUGUUGGGACGAGGGCCGGGGCUCUCCCGGCUUGACCACAUCCCCCUCCUGUCCCAGCAGCUGUGCCCAGUUCUCCCCGGCUCCGAGUGGCCCCUCCGCCGAGAGCCCCCCGAUUAAACAUCGGAGUUAGGCUGCCGCCGCCUAACUGGGCCCGGCUGGGCGCACGGGGACAGGCUGCCCUGUGCGGGCCGCGGCGCUCCUCCGUCUCGCCUCCCGGUCAUGGCCACCGCCGUCCCGCCGCGGAGCGCGUAGCCCGGCCCGGACCCCGCUGCCGGCCGCGCUACGGAACAGGGAGCAUGCGUGUCUCUUUUUCCAAACCAUAAUUUUA